This is a long non-coding RNA of Erinaceus europaeus (western European hedgehog), 812 nucleotides long. RefSeq lists it as uncharacterized. The record is from RefSeq and is a predicted model, not a curated record. The transcript is spliced from 2 exons. Lineage: Eukaryota; Metazoa; Chordata; Mammalia; Eulipotyphla; Erinaceidae.
GGCAGCAGAGUAGCAUGUCAGACAGGGUCAAAAGAGGUUAGGCUGCCCACCUGGGGCCAGUCGGUGGUGGCAGCAGCAGCAGUGCCAGAAGCAGAGGCAGCCCCAGCAGCCACCACAGCUGGGCACGGAGUUGGUGGUGGGAAAAAGCUGCUGUAGAGGCAACUGAGACUAGAAGAAUCAUAGUGUCCACAGGAUCUUGACCUGUGGUGACAGCCCUGAAAAUCACUACAACCUGAAUGAGGAGCUCCACACCUGCAGUCAGGCAGAGAAAACUUUUUGGAACUUGGUGAUUCUCACUGACUGCCCAUGGAACUCACUUUAUUCAGAAGAACCCUUGUGAUGGCUCAGGACAGGUCAAGGGGGCUCCAGCCCAGGUGCAAAGUAGAGAUGGUGGAGUGACUGGGGAGGGGAGGUCCUGGCCACGUGGCUGCUUCCCACAGCUGUCUAGCAGGUCUGAAGCACAACUCUAGCGAUCUUGGACCAAAGGGUCCACACUCACCAUUGGCUGUCCAAGCUCCGGGAUCACCGAAGAUUCUUCUUCAAAGUCCAAAUCACAGGAAGGUGAGAGCUACACCAAGAAAUAAGUGAUAACCUCAGGAGCAGAAACACUAGUGUAUUUUAAGGUCUGGACUGCCUUCUUUCACCAUCAGCAGCCCAGAUGGGACAGAAAGCUGCACACUUCAGUAUCUUAAAACAUAAUUGGAUGAAGUACUUGCCAUAUACACAACUCCUCUCCUGAUUGGGUAAUAAUCAGAUCCAUCAAAAACACGCCCCAAAUGACUAUCCAAUCAAAAUGAGAAUAUUUUGAAUGA